Molecule: ribosomal RNA, 436 nt
Filed under: uncultured bacterium
Lineage: Bacteria
Description: bacterial SSU rRNA
Rfam family: Bacterial small subunit ribosomal RNA
Source: RNAcentral
UACGAAAGGCAGCAGUGGGGAAUAUUGCACAAUGGGCGCAAGCCUGAUGCAGCGACGCCGCGUGAGGGAUGAAGGCCUUCGGGUUGUAAACCUCUUUCAGUAGGGAAGAAGCCGGCCUUUCGGGGUUGGUGACGGUACCUGCAGAAGAAGCGCCGGCUAACUACGUGCCAGCAGCCGCGGUAAUACGUAGGGCGCAAGCGUUAUCCGGAAUUAUUGGGCGUAAAGAGCUCGUAGGCGGUUUUGUCGCGUCUGCCGUGAAAGUCCGGGGCUUAACCCCGGAUCUGCGGUGGGUACGGGCAGACUAGAGUGCAGUAGGGGAGACUGGAAUUCCUGGUGUAGCGGUGAAAUGCGCAGAUAUCAGGAGGAACACCGAUGGCGAAAGGCAGGUCUCUGGGCUGUAACUGACGCUGAGGAGCGAAAGCAUGGGGAGCGGAAC